RNAcentral lists this ribosomal RNA (419 nucleotides) under uncultured bacterium. Its description in RNAcentral is "bacterial SSU rRNA". It matches the Rfam family "Bacterial small subunit ribosomal RNA", at positions 986 to 1403 of the family's 1533-position model. The record is from RNAcentral.
AUUGAGUGAAAAACUAAGAGGUUAGUCCCUCUCUUCGGAGACACAAAAACAGGUGGUGCAUGGCUGUCGUCAGCUCGUGUCGUGAGAUGUUGGGUUAAGUCCCGCAACGAGCGCAACCCUUAUCCUUUGUUGCCAGCACGUAAAGGUGGGAACUCAAGGGAGACUGCCGCAGACAAUGCGGAGGAAGGCGGGGAUGACGUCAAGUCAUCAUGCCCCUUAUGUCCUGGGCUACACACGUACUACAAUGGGCUUAAACAAAGCGCAGCAAAACCGCGAGGUUAAGCGAAACGCAUAAACAAGCUCUCAGUUCGGAUCGGAGGCUGCAACUCGCCUCCGUGAAGUCGGAAUCGCUAGUAAUCGCAGGUCAGCAUACUGCGGUGAAUACGUUCCCGGGCCUUGUACACUCCGCCCGUCACACC